Molecule: RNA transcript, 3086 nt
Organism: Leopardus geoffroyi (Geoffroy's cat)
Lineage: Eukaryota; Metazoa; Chordata; Mammalia; Carnivora; Felidae
Gene: SPON1
Gene name: spondin 1
Exons: 17
Source: RefSeq, a predicted model, not a curated record
CCCCCUCCGCCGCCGCCCUCCCUUCCUCGCGCGGCUCUGCUCGCUCAGCUCAGCUCAGCGCGGCGCAGCUCGGCAGCCGCCAAGCCGAGACCCGCACGGUCUCCCGGUCGCCAGCGCCGGCUCCGAGCUCCCGCUCCCCGCCCGGGCUCCUCCUGGUCUCGCUUCCACGGGGACCCCUUCGGGCAGGAGUCGCGUGGCGAGGGCCGGCGGCAGCGGCACAAAGUUGGACGCCCGCGAGGAUGAGGCUGUCCCCGGCGCCCCUGAGGCUGAGCCGGAGUCCAGCGCUGCUGGCCCUGGCACUGCCCCUGGCCGCGGCGCUGGCCUUCUCCGACGAGACCCUGGACAAAGUGCCCAAGUCGGAGGGCUACUGCAGCCGCAUCCUGCGCGCCCAGGGAACGCGGCGCGAGGGCUACACCGAGUUCAGCCUCCGCGUGGAGGGCGACCCCGACUUCUACAAGCCAGGAAUCAGCUACCGUGUAACCCUUUCAGCUGCCCCACCGUCCUACUUCAGAGGAUUCACAUUAAUUGCCCUCAAAGAGAACAGAGAGGGUGAUAAGGAAGAAGACCAUGCUGGGACCUUCCAGAUCAUAGAUGAAGAAGAAACACAGUUUAUGAGUAAUUGCCCCGUCGCGGUCACCGAAAGCACCCCACGGAGGAGGACAAGGAUCCAGGUGUUCUGGAUUGCGCCACCAGCAGGAACAGGCUGCGUGAUUCUAAAGGCCAGCAUUGUGCAGAAACGCAUCAUUUAUUUUCAAGAUGAGGGCUCUCUGACCAAGAAACUCUGUGAACAAGAUUCCAUGUUUGAUGGGGUGACGGACAAACCAAUUCUAGACUGCUGCGCCUGUGGAACCGCCAAGUACAGACUCACAUUUUAUGGGAACUGGUCCGAGAAGACGCACCCAAAGGAUUACCCUCGUCGGGCCAAUCACUGGUCUGCAAUCAUUGGUGGAUCCCACUCCAAGAAUUACGUGCUAUGGGAGUACGGAGGAUAUGCGAGCGAAGGUGUCAAACAAGUUGCAGAAUUGGGCUCACCUGUGAAAAUGGAGGAAGAAAUUCGGCAACAGAGUGAUGAGGUCCUCACCGUCAUCAAGGCCAAAGCUCAGUGGCCAGCCUGGCAGCCUCUCAACGUGAGAGCGGCACCCUCGGCUGAGUUUUCAGUGGACAGGACACGCCACUUGAUGUCCUUCCUGACCAUGAUGGGCCCCAGCCCCGACUGGAACGUAGGCCUGUCUGCAGAGGAUCUGUGUACCAAGGAGUGCGGCUGGGUCCAGAAGGUGGUACAAGACCUGAUCCCCUGGGACGCCGGCACUGACAGUGGGGUGACCUAUGAGUCACCCAACAAGCCCACAAUUCCCCAGGAGAAAAUCCGGCCCCUGACCAGCCUGGACCAUCCUCAGAGUCCUUUUUACGAUCCAGAGGGCGGGUCUAUCACUCAAGUAGCCAGAGUUGUCAUCGAGAGAAUCGCCCGGAAGGGGGAACAAUGCAAUAUUGUACCUGAUAACGUCGAUGAUAUUGUCGCGGAUCUGGCUCCAGAAGAGAAAGAUGAAGAUGACACCCCCGAAACCUGCAUCUACUCCAACUGGUCCCCGUGGUCCGCCUGCAGCUCCUCCACCUGUGACAAAGGCAAGAGGAUGCGGCAGCGCAUGCUAAAGGCGCAGCUGGACCUCAGCGUCCCCUGCCCGGACACCCAGGACUUCCAGCCCUGCAUGGGCCCCGGCUGCAGUGACGAAGACGGCUCCACCUGCACCAUGUCCGAGUGGAUCACCUGGUCGCCCUGCAGCAUCUCCUGUGGCAUGGGCAUGCGGUCCCGGGAGAGGUAUGUGAAGCAGUUCCCUGAGGACGGCUCUGUGUGCACGCUGCCCACUGAGGAGACAGAGAAGUGCACGGUCAAUGAGGAGUGCUCUCCCAGCAGCUGCCUGAUGACCGAGUGGGGCGAGUGGGAUGACUGCAGCGCCACCUGCGGGAUGGGCAUGAAGAAGCGGCAUCGCAUGGUCAAGAUGAGCCCGGCGGACGGCUCUGCGUGCAAGGCCGAGACCUCCCAGGCAGAGAAGUGCAUGAUGCCCGAGUGUCACACCAUCCCCUGCUUGCUGUCCCCGUGGUCCGAGUGGAGUGACUGCAGUGUGACCUGCGGGAAGGGCAUGCGGACCCGCCAGCGGAUGCUCAAGUCUCUGGCGGAACUCGGGGACUGUAACGAGGAGCUGGAGCAGGUGGAGAAGUGCAUGCUGCCCGAAUGCCCCAUUGACUGUGAGCUCACCGAGUGGUCUCAGUGGUCGGAAUGUAACAAGUCCUGUGGGAAAGGCCACAUGAUUCGAACCCGGAUGAUCCAAAUGGAGCCACAGUUUGGAGGUGCACCCUGCCCAGAGACCGUGCAACGAAAAAAAUGCCGUAUCCGGAAAUGCCUGAGAAAUCCAUCCAUCCAGAAGCUGCGCUGGAGAGAGGCCCGAGAGAGCCGGCGGAAUGAGCAGCUGAGGGAAGAGUCCGGAGGCGAGCAGUUCCCAGGAUGCAGGAUGCGCCCAUGGACAGCCUGGUCGGAAUGCACCAAACUGUGCGGUGGUGGGAUCCAGGAACGCUACAUGACCGUCAAGAAGAGGUUCAAAAGCUCCCAGUUUACCAGCUGCAAGGACAAGAAGGAGAUCAGAGCGUGCAAUGUUCACCCUUGUUAACAAGGGUGUAAGUUUUCCGGGGCUGCACCCUGGCUUGCACAGUCAUCGAUGGCUGGAGUGUGUGUUUGCUUGUUGUUUAAGGCAAUUUAAAUUGUAUACAUUAGUUUUCAUUUCUGCAGUGUGGUUCACCCACCAGUCUUGUUGAUGCCAGGGACUUCCUUUCUGUCUGCUUCUUGGUAUGCAGAGGCUGCGUGGGGCUCCCUCAUCCCCAGAUGGCCCUCCUCCAGCACAGAAGUUUUCAUUAUGCUUAAUCCAAAUAUGUAUCCCGGAUGAGAUGCAUACGUGGUUUUGAAUACACUACUUUAAGAAUUUGCAUUAAACCCAUCAGGAUGUCUCCAAACACAACAAACAUAUGAUAUUGCCCUGAAUCUGUAUUUUCUUUAACAUCAAAGACCGUUCAAUAAAAAAAAACUCAUUUGGGUC